CCCGUUACACCUAAAACAACCCCGUUUUGCUUCCCUUUCAUCUGAGCCGUUUAAUAUUUUAAUCCAACUGUCGCCUUCAAGAUUAGGCAUUAGAUAUAAUUGUCUGGAAAACUUAAGAGACAUACCAUCUUCCUCGUAUUCACCCCACUGUUCCCACCUGAUCUCCGCCGCCGCCACCGGAGAAAAUGCAAUUUUCUCCGUUGGCUCCCAAAAUUACAUCCCUAUACCACCUCGUCGUCCCCGUCAGGAAUCCACCAUUAUUGUCUCUUGAAUCCCACUGGAGGGCAUCGAAUAAUUGAAAGAAUGGCCGCCUUCUCCGCCGUCCACCGCGGCGAUACCGCCAAAAUCAGUUAAAUUCACACCAUGGAACCUCCUCCAUCUCCUCAUCACCAAUCUACAAAUAAUCUCCUUCAAAACAUGACCGAGCCUCUCGAAUCUCAAAUCGUAGGAAGGCGAAAUUCUAGGGCUCAUACCGGUUUGGCCUACUUUGGGAAAUUUCCAGGGUCGGGUGAUUUCUAUUGUAAGUUCUCUUUAGUUUUCUGAUUUUAUUUCUUUUGGUGUAGUUCAAUUUUUCUUUUUUCUUCUUGUCAUUCAAUCUGGUUGAUAAUUGACUUCGAUUUUAUGUUUGUGGGUUAGUUUAACAUGACUUCAAUCCUGCUAUAGUAGUUUAAUUUUGUUUUGAUCUCAUAGUUCAUCUCAGUUAGUUAAUAAUAGGAUUUGGUUCAAUUGUAUUGAUUAUUGGAAGACGUACCCUUGUUUUUGUUUUCCUUCUGAUUUGGUUUAGUGUUAAUUCACUCAUGAUUGAUCCUUUCUUUUAGUUUUAUGUUGAUUUUGAUUCAAUCUGUUUAGGUGAUUUUUGGAGGUUUGUUCAAUUAGGUUUCAAAUCUUUUUAGAUAUAUGUUUUGUUUUGAUUCACAUCAUAUCAAUAGCUGAUUGGUUUUGUUGUUUGAUUGGAUGAAAAAGAUUGUUAGUUAACUAGAAUUAGUUGUUGGAUAAUCAUAGUUAAGAUUUGGGGUGGGUUAGAUUAGUCUAGUAAUUUUGAAUGAAUUCAAGGGCAUUGUGGGUAAUCAAAGUACAAGAAUGUGUAGAUUUAUUUAGAACUCCCUAGAUCCUUCUAGAUAGGGGUGUACGUGAAUAUUUCAAGAAGUAUGUGGUAAUAACUUAGGCAACAAGUCAGUAACUAAAGGACUAAUCUGAAAAUAAAUAAGGGGCUGAAUUAUAAACAGAAAAUUGAGGGUUGCCCUCAUCUUUGCCUAUAAAAGGGCAUCAUCAAUGUCUUAAUGGACAGGUUGGGGAUCCCAAAAAAUCCCCCAAAGUAUGCUCUCUAAAUUUCAGAUCUAAUAUCUGAAACUAAAACUCCAAAACCCCAAAAACAGUAGAAAAUCUCCAAAAACCAAAAAAUAACAAAGCAUCAGAAAAUACCAAAAUACAUGGUUACAUCGAGUGUUGUGAGUUCUGAUAAUUAUUCUUCACGAAUUUUUUACUUUCGAGUUGAAUAUGUGGGUUGCUGAAGUUAAGAAGUUCACUUCAAGUGAUUUUGAGUCAAACUAAGUUGGGUUUUGGUUGAGGUUUGCAGCGUUGAGGUCUCAAAUGUUUGCAGUCCAAUUUCGAUGUCUGUUUGAGUGGUAAUCAAGUAGUUUAUUGGUGAUCUCUUAGUUCCUAUUGGUUCAAACUCUCCCUAGGUUGAUUGAAUUAGUUGUUGGUGAUUUUUACCUGUUGUUGCUGCUUGUGAUAUCACUUGUUGCUGACUCCUUUUGUUAUUCUGUCCAUUCAAACCCAGGUACAUUUUCAAACUCUCACUGUUGUAAUGCCAAAGUUGGAGUAAAAUCAAGGCUCAUUUCAGAUUAAAACUCAAUGGAACCUUCAUAGUUGUAGUCAAUUGAUGUGGUUUUAGUUUUUUGUUUGAGUUUUGAAUUGUUUAAUUAGUAUUGUUGCCAACUAAUGCGGACAUGAUAAUUUGUAAUAUGAAAUGUUGAAUUUCAUUUGAAAUGGUGAUUUUCUGUUUAGUGUAGUUUAGUGGAUUGUUAGUGAGUUAGUGUUUUCAAUUGUUAAUGACACCACGAGACUAUCUAUUUUAUCAUUUGCUAAAUUGAGUUAAUUUGAAACUUCUGUUUUUGUAAGUAAUAAAUGAUUAGCUUAUUUUAUUGUUUCAAGGGGCCAUAAUUAAGAACUGUGUUGGGCUGUAAUAAUUGGGAUUGCAUGACCAGGAUCAUUUGAGGAAUAAGUAGGAUUGUUGAAGUACUUGUUGGGAUUCGAUCCCAGACAUAGAUAUGACAAUUGCUUGUGUCGCCCUCUACUUCCAUGGGGCCGCCCGUUUUCAUUUGGGCCGGGGUGCAUUAAUAUGAAGCCCAGGUUUGUUUUGGCCAGCCUGGAUAUAGCUUGAAGAAACUAGUUAAAUAGGAUGAUGACUCAAGGGCUCGAUCCAUGGACCUCGCUGAUGCCUCUCGAUGGGUUCAAAUUUUGGGCCAGCUUAGGCCCAAUGUCUAUAGCUCCGAGAGCUUGAUUUCAUAGCGUUUGCUUUAUGUGAUUUAGGCCUUCUGGGCUCAAGACAAAAAGCAUAGAAAAAUUAUAAUUACUAUAGGAUGGACUUUUAAAUAAGAAUUGCAAUGGGCCUCGCCAAAUAAGAAAUAUAUAAUUGUGAGGCCCUCAAUAAAUUUUGUAUUAAGUACUUAGAAUUCGGGAGGGUCGUUUAGCGAAUUUCACGGUCUUCCCCAAAGUAAUAUUUCAUUAGAAUCUUAAGGCGCAAUUUAAUUAAAUUACUUUCUUAAAUUCGGGUGGGCAUUGAUGCGACCCAAAUCCAAAUCUCGUUGAAGUCAAAAUGUGCUGACAACCACGGGUGCAUUGAUUGCGACGUGGUUUGAAACACAUUUUUACGACGUCGCAAUUCUUUUAAAAUAAUAAUGAUAGAAAAAUGGUUUGAGAAUAAAAGGCACAUAAGCUAGCAUGUAUUAAAAUCUGAUAAAAUCAAAUACAACAGUUAAGCGACCGUUCUAGAACCACGGAUCCCGGGAAUGCAUAACACCUUCUCCCGGGUUAACAAAACUUCUUACUCGGAUUUCUGGUACGCGGACUGUUAACAAAGUCAUAAUUUUCCUCGGUUCGGGAUUCAACCGCUGACUUGGGACACCAUUAAUCUCCCAAGUGGUGACUUUGAACUUUAAUAAUUAAAUCUCGUCCCGAUUGUCCUUUAAUUGGAAAAAUUUCUUUACGCCCAUGCGGGUGUAGUGAAAAAUGAGGUGUGACACCUUGUUCAACCAUUGGUAAUCAAUACACAUCCUCAU
This 3281-nucleotide long non-coding RNA is filed under the name Nicotiana benthamiana. Its description in RNAcentral is "long non-coding RNA (NBEN_LNC027336)". Lineage: Eukaryota; Viridiplantae; Streptophyta; Magnoliopsida; Solanales; Solanaceae. The record is from RNAcentral.